RNAcentral lists this unclassified non-coding RNA (431 nucleotides) under plant metagenome. RNAcentral's name for it is "partial contains 5.8S ribosomal RNA, internal transcribed spacer 2, and large subunit ribosomal RNA". The stretch from base 1 to 110 matches the Rfam family "5.8S ribosomal RNA", at positions 50 to 154 of the family's 154-position model. The record is from RNAcentral.
GAAAUGCGAUAAGUAAUGUGAAUUGCAGAAUUCAGUGAAUCAUCGAAUCUUUGAACGCACCUUGCGCUCCCUGCAGAUCUAAUCUGGGGAGCAUGCCUGUUUGAGGGCCGCGAAUUGUUUCGAGCGCCAGCUUUUUUAAUUAAGAGAUGGUAGCUUGGUAGUGAGGGUUUUGCCAUUUACCGUGGCUCCCUCGAAAUGCAUUAGUGCAUCCAUUUAAUAGGCAAAGACGGACGAAAGCUCAUUUUUUUUUCGCUCCCCUCUUCCCUGCCGGGUUUUGAUAAUAUCAGGACUUCGGAGGUGAAAGGAGGGAGCAAGAGCUGGACGCAACGUCGUUGCUGGUUGGAGUGCUUCUGAACACCACCUUUUUCGAAAGAAAAGGAAUUAAAUUCAAAUCGGCCUCAGAUUGGUAGGACUACCCGCUGAACUUAAGC